GAGCGAGUGGCAAACCCUGCGUUGGGUUCCAAAUCAGAUGAAAGUAAAAACAAACGUAUUCGCUCA
RNAcentral lists this transfer RNA (66 nucleotides) under Boodlea composita. RNAcentral's name for it is "tRNA-Trp". Lineage: Eukaryota; Viridiplantae; Chlorophyta; Ulvophyceae; Cladophorales; Boodleaceae. The record is from RNAcentral.